AGAACUCUUUCAUAAUCGAUAUAAUAUCUAAACCACUGAAUUAAUUUUUGUUUCGCAUGGAUCCUGUUUUGGGUUUCGGAAAUUGCUUUAAAAUUUUAAUUUCCGUUGUGCGUUUCUAUAUCGAAACCCCUACAUGGAGCCCAAAGAAUUCGUUGAUAGAAUCGCAGUCAAAAGUCAAUGCUUACCCCGAACCAUCACCACAUGGCCCACUUGCGCAAUUGCGUUCGCUUAAAACUCCUUGACGAUAGAGAUCACAGCUGGUUUAGGUUGUUCAACCAAUUGAAAAUAGUUGUGCUCGACAAUCAUUAACGCCAUAUCCCUAUCCAAAUUAGUGUUUUGUUUUAAUCCCAUUUCCAACACCAGUGUUUUCUUAUCAAACACUAUUUUGAAUCUCGUCUCUGCGGCCUCACUGACAAACUUUGAACUAUCGAAUUGUUAUCUAGCACUAGAGGUAGAAGCUCGUUAUCUUUUAGCCAACAUACUAUAUUUAACUGUGCUUAAACUUGCAAAAUAAGAGCCCGACUUGGACUAGGCAAUACAACAAAUAGUUGGUGCGCAACCCCCUUUUCCCCCCAAACUUACUCCUCAGAAUGCUCAAUCUAACCCCAAUAAGAAUCCAAUUAAACACAACCUUGGACCAACACAAAUCCAAGGUAAUUCCCAACACUAUGUAGUUCAGAAGCAACAAAACAAACAAAUGCACUAAUGAUGUGGACUGUAACUUCCAAGUAGUUUACCAUUGGUACCUCUGAUAGUCAAUUAAUGUUCACCCUUGGAGUAAUCCUAGCCUCGCUGCUUAUUGAAGACCAAAGUCUGCACAUUUUGAUCUAGGGGCAAGGUUGAGUAUUGAACCUUGGAGUUGGGUUUUGAAUAGGAUUGAAGAAAUUCAUUUCGAAUGGAAUUGGGAUGGGUUAGGUCAUCAGGAUGGUAUGGAGAUAAUCAGAUUUAGAUGUUGAAUAGGAGUGUGUGAAUCUGUUUUGCACUAGAGAAGUAUUAGAUGAGAGUUUAGUGUAAUUAGGAUAAGGUAGAUUAAAGUGACCCAAAACCCUUGUUUUAAUUCGAUUCCAGUCGACCGGCGUGCCUCGCACCCGGUUAGAUAUAUUGAUGGCGCG
RNAcentral lists this long non-coding RNA (1112 nucleotides) under Panax ginseng (ginseng). Its description in RNAcentral is "long non-coding RNA (PGIN_LNC012020)". The record is from RNAcentral. Lineage: Eukaryota; Viridiplantae; Streptophyta; Magnoliopsida; Apiales; Araliaceae.